Xenopus laevis (African clawed frog) is the source of this 2129-nucleotide long non-coding RNA. RefSeq lists it as uncharacterized. The transcript has 2 exons. The record is from RefSeq and is a predicted model, not a curated record. Lineage: Eukaryota; Metazoa; Chordata; Amphibia; Anura; Pipidae.
UUUUCCUUUUAUCUCUGAUUGUAAAAAUAUAAUUUUUUCAAAUGAGGAAAAAAAUGUUGGAAAAAGUAAUUAUUUUCCCAUCUGCUCCCUCCUGCAGCCUUGUAAUCGCUCCUCCCUCCCUCCCUCCAACCCCUGCACACUUAAUGCUUUGCCACACUUACAAAUGGGUUUUAUUCUGCUGCCUGUGUGAUUUAUUUGUAUAUUUGGCUUAUUAUUUAGCAUUAAUUAGGGCAGAAGAACAUUGACUCAGGAUGGCCUGGUGCCAUAGAGACAGGCUUACUUCACUUGAGUAGAAAAAUGGCAACUUUAUCAAUCUAUAACCUUUACUCUGGAAAGCAGAGGUUUUUUUUAGAUCAUUUGUCUAAUUUUUUUAGCUAAUUUCCAGCUCUAUAGUUUCUAUAAACAAAUCUUAGGACAAUAUUUCCAUUGAAGUAAUUUAAAAAUAAGUCCAUUUUCAGUACUAUCAGUUUCACAUAUGUUAAUUUAGUAUUGAAGCUAGACAUAAACAAAAAAUAUAUAUUGCUGAGUAUCAGGACAUGUAUUAGUUCUUACCCCCCCCCUCAUUAUAUCUGAGUUAUUAAUGUAAGCACUGAAUAAGUAAAUCUGCUGGAAAACCAGACUUUCCCUGAAGCACACUGACUUCUCACUUUCUCAAUUUCAUCUAUUUCAUCUUUUUUUUCUCGCAGUUUUAAAAAUAUUUUCUCACGUACUCUCUUGUUUAUUAAUUAAUGCAAAACAAGUUUUGGACUUUUUAAGGAUUUUCAAUUUUUUUACAUUGCGCUUUCAUUUUUUUCUCUCCUUUUUAAUUGUGCUACUUUUAUUGUCUCCUGUGUACAACUGCACGAGAGAGCUCAUUUACAUUGCCUCCUGUUAUAAAAUAAAAACAAAUCAAACGUAUAUGUUGAACCAGCCGUAUACACAGGUGACUUGGGCAAUCAGUUUCAUGCUAGAUCCAAAUUGUACUCUGUGGUUAAACUGUGAGGGUUACGUAGAGCUCUAAGAGUGAGAAAAGACAAAGACAUUCCUUCCCCAGAGCAUCAGUGCCUAUUAAGAUUAUCAAGGAGAUUAUUAUGGAAGUGGAAAUUAUGACUUUUUUCCUCAUGGACCACCAUCUUCCCAGACACAGUCCCCAGCAGACUCUAGCUAUCUACAGAAUUCUGGACCUGGUUCAACCCCUUUAGGUCCUUUAGAAUCUCAGCUUUCUGGACACCACCCUUCAGAAAACCAAAGAUAUGUGGACAUGAUUUCCCAUCCUGACACUCCCAGUCCUGAGCCGGGUAUGACUGGCCCCCUCCAUCCUAUUUCUGGUGAAGUCUUCACUGGUGGUCCUAGUCCUCCCUUUUCUAUGUCUAACAAUAGUGGCUUUAGUGGUCCUCUGCCCCAUCAGAACCUUGACAUUAAUGAAGCCACUGUAUGGUAAUAAAAGACACUUGUUGACUUGUUGAAAUGAUCUCUUUAGUUGACCAGAAGUCAUUCUGUCUCUUUCCUUCUACUCUUCACUCAACAAUUGGGUGCUUGUACGCCUGAUUCCAACAGACAGGCCCAACCAACCUUGGAAAUGAUUCAGUUCCGUGGUACAUUUUCUCCUUGCUGAGCGAUGGCUGAAUCAACGUAGGAGUGGGCAAUCUGGGGUGAUUAAAAACCAAAACCAAGAACGACACUAAACCAAAAGCCAUUUGUAUGACAGCAGAAGAGAAACUGCAAUCUGUACAAGCUCUCCUUGUCCUGUAGCACCGGAGCCACAAGUCCAGUUAUCGGAAAGAGGGAAGAUAAAUGGGACCAACAUGGCACCAAAACCAAAACACACCUUCAUGACUAUUUAUUAUGAAGCUGCCUCCCUACCCAGCUUGAGAACCAGGAGAAAGCCUAAAACAACAAACUCUACAUGGUACCACGUAUAACAUUUUCUGGACCAGAAACCCAAAAGGAGGCGUUUCACUAGAACAAUCGAGUUCAAAUAUUUUGUAUUUAUUUCACAUUGAACAUGUAUUUUUAAGAAUGAUAAUAAAAAAUGGUUACAGGGGUUUUGUGUCUAAGCUCAAGACAAUGUUAAAAUUAACAGGGAAGCAUUCAUUUCAGAAAUGUCCUUAACGCUGCCUGCCACCCCAUUAAAACCUAUUUUGUAUUUA